Molecule: ribosomal RNA, 292 nt
Filed under: uncultured bacterium
Lineage: Bacteria
Description: partial 16S ribosomal RNA
Rfam family: Bacterial small subunit ribosomal RNA
Source: RNAcentral
UUUUCAGCCGCCGCGGUAAUACGUAGGGUGCAAGCGUUAAUCGGAAUUACUGGGCGUAAAGCGUACGCAGGCGGCUAUGUAAGACAGGUGUGAAAUCCCCGGGCCUAACCUGGGAACUGCAUUUGUGACUGCAUAGCUAGAGUCCGUCAGAGGGGGGUGGAAUUCCACGUGUAGCAGUGAAAUGCGUAGAGAUGUGGAGGAACACCGAUGGCGAAGGCAGCCCCCUGGGAUGAGACUGACGCUCAUGUACGAAAGCGUGGGGAGCAAACAGGAUUAGAAACCCCAGUAGUCC